Cavia porcellus (domestic guinea pig) is the source of this 1401-nucleotide long non-coding RNA. RefSeq lists it as uncharacterized. Lineage: Eukaryota; Metazoa; Chordata; Mammalia; Rodentia; Caviidae. The record is from RefSeq and is a predicted model, not a curated record. The transcript is spliced from 3 exons.
AAGCAAAUGAUAGCUGUUUUUAUGCACCAGUCGCUGGCCUCCUAGCAAAGAUGUUUGGCUCCUGAGCCAGGAAGUCCAGGACUAGCCCUUCAAACUGAAGGCUACCAAAAUCCUGCAAACCUCUGUUGGUCCCAGUCGCCAGUGCCCUUUGCUAGCUUUUUCAUUAUGUCAGGGGGUGUACAAACCACAUUUUGCUCCAGGGCAUACAGCUCCAGAUGUACAGUGCACAUCUGAGACAAGGAGCCUCAGAACCUCCCCAGCUUAGAGGGCUGCAAACCGCUCAGCACAUCCAAGGGAUGGCUGUCACCUGCAGCAGCUAGGCGUUCUGGGCUGGUGGUAUCUAGAUUUGGAGGCCCAACAUUAAACCUGUCCCCACCUUCAGGAGAAAAUCAGAGCAGCCAUCAUCCUGCUAGCCCAGGGUCUUGUUUACUUGUUGACAUGUGUACACCCAAACUACACAACCUCUACUUUGGAAUCAACCUUAGAGACCUAAAAUCCCAGAGCAGCCACCUUUAGCUCCCACCCAGCUUCCUAUCGAGGACAGACACGUUUCCUUCCCUUCUAAGGUCAGAGGUCGAGCCUGGGAGGGGCCUGCUGCCCCUUCCCCAGGCCCACCCGCUCUGAAGUCCCGAGCCCCGUUUCCAGCAGCUUUCUCUCUCCCCUCCCAGCCUGCUAUCCAUUAGCGUAAUCCCCUGUCCAAACACUGCGGCAAGGAUGGCCAGACUUCGGUGUAAACAGACCAGAGGGGACAAUUCUAACGAUAUAAAUAAAAUAACCAUUAAUAGCGCAAACUGUUCGAUGACUUGGAGGUUUCGCCGGGGUUUGUGUACACAGCGUGGACACUGCGCAUCCGUCAGGUGAACCAGAGGUUCUUCUCCCGGCCAAAAUCUAAACCCAGCACAGGAUUAUGUUAACAGGACCAAAGACGAGAGCUGUUGCAGGAAGCAGAUACACUAGCAACGGUCACAGCCUGGUGCUGUUACAGGAUCUUCAUACCUAUGAGUCAUGAAUUCUCCCAGCCCUGUGGAGGUAAGAAACCUGCUGCUUGAUGAGUGUGAAAAACUGGAUCAAGGGCACAAGACUAGAAUAGCAGAAGAACUCCAAUCCAAACCAAGAUUUAGUGGACUCCAGGACCCAGGCUUUGCCUCAAAACAGAGGAACAAAGUGUGACUGUGACUCAAGGAAAGCUGAAUCUCCCAGGGUCCACUCUACACUCAGCCUCCCUACUCCAUGGGCUCCCCCUGGGUGGACUGAGAGUGGGAAGAGCUCUUAGGUAUCAACCCUUACACAUGCGUGCUCAUGAGGUCUGUGUUUUCCAUCCACAUGCAUGUUUAUUGGCUUACUGGCUGUGAGAAGUGUAAAACAUUCACAUGUACCCAGGUACAUGUGCACUCAGUGUGG